GGAGAGAUGACCGAGUGGUUGAAGGUAACGGUCUUGAAAACCGUCGUGCCCGCAAGGGUACCGUGGGUUCGAAUCCCACUCUCUCCGCCA
Molecule: transfer RNA, 90 nt
Filed under: Candidatus Saccharimonadota bacterium
Lineage: Bacteria; Candidatus Saccharimonadota
Also listed under: 2 other names
Description: tRNA-Ser
Rfam family: tRNA
About the family: Transfer RNA (tRNA) molecules are approximately 80 nucleotides in length. Their secondary structure includes four short double-helical elements and three loops (D, anti-codon, and T loops).
Source: RNAcentral